UACGGAGGGUGCAAGCGUUAUCCGGAUUUACUGGGUUUAAAGGGCUCGUAGGCGGCCAACUAAGUCCGACGUGAAAUCCCAAAGCUUAACUUUGGAACUGCGUCGGAUACUGGAUGGCUUGAAUUCGGGAGAGGGAUGCAGAAUUCCAGGUGUAGCGGUGAAAUGCGUAGAUAUCUGGAGGAAUACCGGUGGCGAAGGCGGCAUCCUGGACCGACAUUGACGCUGAGGAGCGAAAGCUAGGGGAGCAAACGGG
This 253-nucleotide ribosomal RNA is filed under the name uncultured bacterium. Its description in RNAcentral is "partial 16S ribosomal RNA". It matches the Rfam family "Bacterial small subunit ribosomal RNA", at positions 524 to 776 of the family's 1533-position model. The record is from RNAcentral.